CGGCUGUCUUUCGCAGGCUCUCGUUUUAUAUUUAACUUUGAAAAUAGAGCCACAAUCCUUUCAGACAAUCAGCCUGCUCACUCGCGCUGGUGGAUUUAAUUCGUCGCGAAAGGAAAAGCGGGCGGCAGGUAAAUGUUAAUGUCACGGUUGGGCCGGGAGUUGUAGCAAUUUCAAGCCACGCCUUGAUCUGUCACGCUCUUAGUUAGGCGUCGUCUUACAUUACAUUGCAUUACUUUUCUAGCUAUCAUCUACUCCUAAAUAACUGCUUUUAGUGAACGCUUAUCACGUGCCAAUCACUAGAAUACAAGACAGUAGUUUAGUCUCCACGUUAUCUUGCCAGGUAGGCAUCAUUAUCCUCGUUUUAGAAACGAGAAGGCCGAGGCUCCAGCGGGCCUGUGACAUGCCUGCCCAGGGCUGCACGAGCCAGUCAGUGCCAGAGUCCGGCUUUGGACCCAAGACAGUAUGAUUCAGUCCCAGACUCCUUCCAGGCACGACGGCGAUCCCCUUCUCAGCCUACGUGACUUGAAGUUCUGGAAUUCUUUGGGCUCGUGCUCUCGCCACGGGAACACGUCUUAAUUUGGGGACAAUUAUUCAGAAGCUGGGACAAAUACUAGAUAGAUGGAUGAUAGAUACGUACAUACAUACAUACAUAGGGUAUAUAUAUAUAUAUAUAUAUAUAUAUACUGAGAGAUAUAUAAAUCUGAACAGUGAACCCCUAAAACUGUAGUUAGAAAUUUGUAUUAUAUGUCUCACUAGAUAGAUAGAUAGAUAGAUGAUAGAUAGAUACAUACAUACAUACAUAGGGGGCUAUAUAUAUAUAUAUACUGAGAGAUAUAUAAAUCUGAACAGUGAACCCCUAAAACUGUAGUUAGAAAUUUGUAUUAUAUGUCUCACUAGAUAGAUAGAUAGAUAGAUGAUAGAUAGAUACAUACAUACAUAGGGGGCUAUAGGGGGCUAUAUAUAUAUACUGAGAGAUAUAUAAAUCUGGACAGUGAGCCCCUAAAACUGUAGUUAGAAAUUUGUAUUAUAUGUCUCACUAGAUAGAUAGAUGAUAGGUAGAUACAUAUAUACAUACACACAUACAUACAUAGGAUGUGUAUAUAUAUAUAUAUGUAUAUAUGUGUAUAUAUAUAUAUAUAUAUAUAUAUAUAUAUACUGAGAGAUAUAAAUUUGGGGUAGAACUGUUUAGAUCUUCAUUUUUAUUUAUUUUUUUAAGUUUCCUUAUUUAUUUUGAGAGAGAGUUUCUCUCUCAGGGGAGAUCAGGGGAGGGACAGAGAGCGAAGGAGAGAGAGAAUCCCAAGCAGGCUCUGCACCAUCAGCACGGAGCCGGGUGUGGGGCUCGAACCCAUGAUCGGUGAGACCACGAGCCGCGCCGAAAUCAAGAGUCAGAUGCCUAACCCACUGGGCCACCCAGGUGCCCCCAGAUCUUGAUUUUUAAAAUCUGGAAUAUUUUUUUUUUUUAAUUUUUUUUUUCAACGUUUAUUUAUUUUUGGGUCAGAGAGAGACAGAGCAUGAAUGGGGGAGGGGCAGAGAGAGAGGGAGACACAGAAUCGGAAACAGGCUCCAGGCUCUGAGCCAUCAGCCCAGAGCCUGACGCGGGGCUCGAACUCCCGGACCGCGAGAUCGUGACCUGGCUGAAGUCGGACACUUAACCGACUGCGCCACCCAGGCGCCCCUGGAAUAUUUAUUUUUAUGUUCAGUUAAGGAACUCAGUGUGAGCUCUUUUAGGCAGCCUCGCCUAAAACAACCUGUCACAGCAAAUCCAGAAAGUUAUUAGUGCUUUGAAAUAUGACAUUCGUACUCAUCUGCACUUCACAUCGUCUCAAACCAUAUUUUUAACAUUUUGGGAAAAUACGCAACGCGAUGUAUCUUUCAAAGAGUUAAGGAACUGGGGCAAAGGGCAAAUGAGGGGAGAGAAAAAUAAAACGACACCAGGGGAGAGAGGUUAGUACACACUUCAUGCCGUGCUGUGCGUGAGUCACUCAUGGCAUCUCGAUUUAAAAAUAAAACAGCACACAACCUGCUUUCCCCAAAAUGUGGCUUCUUGCUCGGGAAUCUCCAUCUAUUUUUUUCAGCGUUGGAACUUCUUAUCCUUUUUUGUACUUGGUUCUUUCUACCCUGCCUUGGGAAAUAUCCCGCUUGAUUUUUGUCCAUUUUCUUUUCUUUUUUUUUUUUCCUCUAAUAGGCAACCAUGCACAGCAGCCUGAGACAAUGAAGACUCACUGGCGCUUUUUUAAGCAAGUGAUGACGAGGAGCAUUUGAGGAUGCGUUCGUCAGGUUCGUUGGAACUUCUUAUGCGGGCAAGCUCAUGUUUCCAAUUCGGGACUCAGAGCAAGCGAUCAGCUGUAUAGACGCUUGACGUUAGCGCUGAGAGCCGCGGUAUCUUUAGCAGCUCACAAUGUAGGGUGACGCCAAUUGGAUGAGUCGUCCCCAUGGAAAACAGCCCACUUGGCGUAUGUUCCCGAAGCUACGAUCUGGCAGCGGUACCGAGACCUCUCUUCUAGAAAUUGCUGUUACCGCCACACACGGGAGACAGAUCCAAAAGGGGAAAUUUAGUUUCUCCACCGGCUCGUCCUUUGCCGUGAAGCUUGUGUAGGGCACCCUCCAUAAAAUCCCUUUUGCAAAGUGAAAACAUCGAUAGCAUUCUUCACGUCACUAUUUUCCGUGGAUGAGUUGAACGUGGUAACGUGGAAUGUAAAUACCUCUACAUGUAACUACAAAAUGUUUUAAAUAAAAUGGGAAGCGUGCAUUAUUUUCAUUUUGUGCCACUGUAAAUAUGGAAAGAAGUAAUCGGAUAUACUAGGCAGAAUUGGGGUGGGUAGAUGGGGCCUAAAUUUCUAAAAUCAAUGUUUG
This 2853-nucleotide long non-coding RNA is filed under the name Lynx pardinus (Iberian lynx). Lineage: Eukaryota; Metazoa; Chordata; Mammalia; Carnivora; Felidae. The record is from RNAcentral.